Molecule: long non-coding RNA, 345 nt
Filed under: Physcomitrium patens
Lineage: Eukaryota; Viridiplantae; Streptophyta; Bryopsida; Funariales; Funariaceae
Description: long non-coding RNA (PPAT_LNC009994)
Source: RNAcentral
UGAGGGCCCCGUACAGUGAAAAAUCCUCCUGGAAUAGAAGUCCAUCCUGUGCUACCAUCACUAAUAUCAACGUAAGACAAUGAGCCCCCUUCCUGGAGCUGUGCCGUCCAUUCUAAGCUCUGUGUCUUUUCUUCAGCUUGAGCAUUGUUUUCACUUUGCUCCAUAAUUGAAUUCCUUGCUGUGACCAGGAGUUCUUAUCAACAAAUUACUUGCAGAUCUCUCGGUAUUAGCGAAGGAUUGUAGCUCCACCCAAAGUAGGAGUAAGUCUUCAAAAACGCAUGGAGCGACUUUCACGGCAACCUUCCAGGAGAAACCACCUUCAAACGUACGAUCGGAAAAAUAUGG